CCUACGGGCUGCAGCAGUGAGGAAUAUUGGUCAAUGGACGCAAGUCUGAACCAGCCAUGCCGCGUGCAUGAAGACGGCCCUCUGAGUUGUAAACUGCUUUUGUACGAGGGUAAACGCUGAUACGCGUAUCUUUCUGAAUGUACCUUACGAAUAAGGAUCGGCUAACCCCGUGCCAGCCGCCGCGGUAAUACGGAGGAUUCAAGCGUUAUCCGGAUUUAUUGGGUUUAAAGGGUGCGUAGGCGGUCGGAUAAGUUAGGGGUGAAAUCCCGAGGCUCAACUUGGGAAUUGCCUUUGAUACUGGUCGGCUAGAGAGUAGUUGCGGUAGGCGGAAUGGAUGGUGUAGCGGUGAAAUGCUUAGAGAU
This 362-nucleotide ribosomal RNA is filed under the name uncultured bacterium. RNAcentral's name for it is "partial 16S ribosomal RNA". It matches the Rfam family "Bacterial small subunit ribosomal RNA", at positions 338 to 697 of the family's 1533-position model. The record is from RNAcentral.